GACGAACGCUGGCGGCGUGCUUAACACAUGCAAGUCGAGGGGGCGGGGCAACCCGUCACCGGCGAACGGGUGCGUAACACGUGAGCGACCUGCCCAACUGCGGGGGAUAGCCGGCCCAACGGCCGGGUAAUACCGCAUACGACGUUCGGGGGCAUACCCUGGGCGUGAAACCGAUUGAGGGCGGUUGGAGGGGCUCGCGGCCUAUCAGCUAGUUGGCGAGGUAACGGCUCACCAAGGCGACGACGGGUAGCUGGCUGAGAGGAUGGCCAGCCACAUUGGGACUGAGAGACGGCCCAGACUCCUACGGGAGGCAGCAGGUGGGAAUCUUGCGCAAUGGCCGAAAGGCUGACGCAGCGACGCCGCGU
Molecule: ribosomal RNA, 365 nt
Filed under: uncultured bacterium
Lineage: Bacteria
Description: bacterial SSU rRNA
Rfam family: Bacterial small subunit ribosomal RNA
Source: RNAcentral